UAUUUGUUUCUUUCUGCUCUCGCGAGCAUACUUGAUAAAAUGACAUUCUAAUGAACAUACAAAUGGGUUUGUAAAAUACAUAGGGCCCUUUCGAGCCCUACUAUGUGUGCACAGGGGGUGAAGAAUUGAAUUAUUAGAGAACGUGCACUUGUCCCGAGAGACCAGCACUGAAACUCCUCAAAUCGUUAAUGAUCCUUCCGCAGGUUCACCUACGGAAA
Molecule: unclassified non-coding RNA, 218 nt
Filed under: uncultured fungus
Lineage: Eukaryota; Fungi
Description: sequence contains ITS1
Source: RNAcentral